This is a long non-coding RNA of Dicentrarchus labrax (European seabass), 971 nucleotides long. RefSeq lists it as uncharacterized. The record is from RefSeq and is a predicted model, not a curated record. The transcript is spliced from 4 exons. NCBI's taxonomy places the organism in Eukaryota, Metazoa, Chordata, Actinopteri, Moronidae.
CCAGUGUUCUCACCCACCCCACACUACAAAGGAUCAGGGCAAAUGGUUGACCGCAGGAACACCAGCCUUCUGCAGAUUGGAGAAGGUACUGACCAAUAAGAGGGUUCUGAAGGACGUGGAGAAGCUGAGCCCUCACUACCCGACCUCAUCGCUCGACGCUUUUCAAAGAGUCGUUUUGCGCCCAAGAAUGUUGUCUUUCCUUUCCUUGGAAUGCUGUGCAGGCUAUACCUGGCGGCCCUGCACUUCAGUGAGAAUGCAGGACGUCCACAGGCAGCAGCAUCAGCCGGAGAGCUGACGGGAGAGUGCACAGCGAGGCCAGAGAGAGCACAGUCAACCAAUUACGUGGAUGAAGUGUUGGACCUCGUCUUUUACAAGGUUUUCCCGGACCCUGGCCCAUAUGCAGAUGAGGUGCUGAAGAUCCCGAUCCCAAAGGAUCUGUCUGCGCUGACGUAACGGGCAGCUACCUGUCCAGUGUUCGCUCGAGGACAGGUCCGAACCCCACGGUGAACACAUUGAGCUCCAGGGAAGUCUGUCCGUACAGCUAGCCCCACGCAGCCGGGCAGUACCACGCCCACUCCUGUAGGCCAGGUCUCUGGACUGAAUGUCGAGUCCACUUUGUUCAGCUGUUGCAAAGUAAAUGGUGACAUUUUCUUUUAAAUAGGGUUUCUCUGAAAACUAACUGAUAUACUAACUAAUACAACAUUGUAUUUCAGCCCCUCACUCAGAUUUUGUGAACCUUUUACCAAAGACGCAAAGCAGAACCAAAACUGCUCCUGUGUCAGUUCAGAGCUGUUCACACCACUUGUGGAGAACAUUUGGCAUCCAGUCUGUUGGAAAUGCUGCAGACGCUCACAUCUACACACAUCCAGCCUGUUCUUAAUGAUCACAUUUGUUGUUGAUGUUGUUGAUUGUACAUGCAACUAACACUUUUUUAUUUUAUUUUUAUAAAUUCUACUUGAUUUGAACUAUUA